Long non-coding RNA from Salarias fasciatus (jewelled blenny), 2367 nucleotides. RefSeq lists it as uncharacterized. The record is from RefSeq and is a predicted model, not a curated record. The transcript has 3 exons. NCBI's taxonomy places the organism in Eukaryota, Metazoa, Chordata, Actinopteri, Blenniiformes, Blenniidae.
CUGAGGUCCAGCAGCAGGGGCUCCAGGUGAUCUGGGGCUCCACCUUCACCAUCAGCUGCUCCAUCCAGCCACAGUACCCAGGAGGCUCCUUCCAGCUCACCUUCACCUCCUCCAACACCUCCUACAACUCCACCCAGCCAGCUGUCAAUCACUCUGCACACUUCCUGUUUCCUGCCGCAGAGCCCGCCCACCGGGGAAACUACAGUUGUGUUUAUCACCUCCAUGUUUUUGGACACAACUUCUGGUCAGAGAGCCGCCUGCUGUCUCUGUCUGUGUUCGAUCCAACAGCUGUGAUCGUCAGAUGGGUGGUGGUGCCGCUGUUUCUCCUGCUGGUGCAGGGGGCGCUGUGGCUGUACUGUAAGGCCAGCAGGGGGCAGACCGGCAGACCGGCAGACCGGACGGACGCUGAGCGGAGUGCAGUGAAGGGAUGAAGUCGGUCCUCUGAACCUUCCUGCUGUGAAGACAAAAUGGUUUUUAUGAGCUUUUUACAACAGUGAUGAAUGUCAUCACGUUCCCACAGACAGUGGAACAAGGUUCCUUUUCCUUUUGUGGACCGUGGUGAAAAAAAGCGUUGUAUUGUCAUAUACUUGGCCACGGUGGAUGUCCUUUUUUAAUCUCCUUUUUACUCCUUUUUCAUUGAUGUUUUUAAGUCAUAUCAUGGAUGCUCAUUUCAUCAUAUAUUAUCAUCUGCUCCGCUCAGGCUGACUGUGUUUAACUGAGGAGAUACUUUUGUGAUUGUAAUCCAAUUUAUUAGCUUGUUCUGCACCAAGGUGAGGCAGGAUGUGGUUUGCAGCAGGUGUUGAACCGUAUGGAACCGGACCAGUUUGUAUUUGGUCCUGAGUGGUUCCAUCUGGGCCUGAAAAACUCGUGUGGAUCUCACUGCCUGCAUGUUUUGUUUUUCUUCUCUCUUCUUUGUCUUUUUGUUGAGAACUGAGGCUGUGGUUGGUUUCCUUGGUAACAAAACAGCAUCAGAGGACAUGUCCAUGGGACCGGAGCGUUUAAGUAGACCCUGUUUUCCAGUGGGUGGUGCUCUCGCUUUCCCUUUCUGAAUUGGCAGAGAAAAGAUGGAGCCCUGACCUGAAAUCUGGAGAGAGUUGACCUCCGAGGUUGAUGUCAGCCAGAUACCAAAUUUAGACUAAAAACAGAUUAUUAUGAGCAGCAGAAUCUAAGAACCGCUCACCUAAAUUGACCAUAUUAAAAUAAUACGUGCCUGAAAUUUGAGACAUGGAAGAACCAACGCAAAAUCAGUUCUUCGAUUUCUUCAUUUUUGGUAUUUUACAUUUUUAUCAGUUUUGAAUUAUAACCUGUAAUCCUUUGAGUGAAUAUAAAUCUGGUGAACAUUUCAAAUCUCCGGUGGAGUGGCGUUAUUUCUCUGAGACCAAAGAAGGAACUUGGAAUCAGGUUUGAGGUACGUUUCUUUGCCCCUGAGAGGGAAGCCUCCAGGAGAACCUGCACUCCGGCACAGCACCAGACCCGGCUCACCCAGCCCGUCAGGAACGCUCACUCUGGUUUUCUACCAGCUGGGAGCGUUCCAAACUUCACGCAGUGCUUUGUGAAAUAAUCUGGUUUCUGUGUGCGAAGUCAAGUAAUGUGAGCAUCCAAAACCAACAAUGAAAAAAACCUUCAGUUUCACAGGAUUCUGAUCUCAACCUCAACAUUCUUCACAUAGAUCUUUGUUCCAGAACCACUUGCGAGCGUUUUGUGUGUGUGCAAGUGGAGUUAAACUUGGAAAAAAAAGUGUUUUAAUCCCAUUUUCAAGCCUCUCUGACUGAAAGUUCAGUUGGCUCUGUCUCCAUCUUGUGGCAGAAAUCUGUCACUGCAACUAUUGACCCUGAUCCACAGCUCUUUCUUCUAUUUUGAAGGAAUGAUGAACUGAAACAUUUCAGUCCACAUUUCCAGAUGGAUUGAUUCACUUCGAGCAAUGUUUUCAGUGGAAAAGUUAUUCUUCAUCUUUCAAAUCUAACUUUCAUUUGAAUGUAGGAAAAAACAUGUAAAAAGUAAAACUGUUGAAUGAAAAAGUAAUCUGCACAACCACUUUGACAUCUUGAUCAAUCGAAGUGGAAAUAAAGCAACAAACAAGUGUAGAUUUUCAUCAGUGAGGACAAAAACAUCCUGAUGGUCAGAAUGUUCUAAUAGUUUCUUUUCUUUCCUCCAGAGCAGCAGGUGGAAGAGGCGGAGGAGUGGAGACAGGAGACGGUUCAGAGACUCUUUUCACUCUCAAACACAAAAACCAAAAAAAAAGACGGUCUUUUUUACACAUUGCAUGAAACAGACACGCACACAGAGUAAUCAUGUCACUGUCCAUGGUGCUGAAGUCAACUUAAACCAAUACUUCAACAUUUUGGUAAAUUGGCCCAUUUAGCGCGA